AUGGGAAACUUGACCCAAAAUCAGGACACGGCACCUGGGUGGGACCCGGUGGAGGAACUUUCGACACCCACCACGAGUACUCAUGCAGAGGUGGGGGCAGGUGCCCCGAAUGAGACGAGUGCUACGCUGCAGUUCGAGGCGGGCGGGGAGACGGUGACAUGCAUGGAGGAGCAAUGCCUAGUGGAUAGAGCGGGCUGCAUGGAUAUGGACGUGCCCAUGCACGCUACCAAUGAUCUACUUCUGCCACCCAAAGAGCAAAUUGCGGUAGCCAACAUCAAGGCUUUCUGCACGGGUUUACUGGAAAAAAAUUAG
This 312-nucleotide ribosomal RNA is filed under the name Triticum aestivum (bread wheat). RNAcentral's name for it is "partial small subunit ribosomal RNA". The record is from RNAcentral. Lineage: Eukaryota; Viridiplantae; Streptophyta; Magnoliopsida; Poales; Poaceae.